AGAGUUUGAUCCUGGCUCAGAUUGAACGCUGGCGGCGUGCUUAACACAUGCAAGUCGUGCGAGAAAGGGGACUUCGGUCCCUGAGUAGAGCGGCGCACGGGUGAGUAACGCGUGGAUGAUCUACCCAGAUAUUCGGGAUAACGGCGGGAAACCGCCGCUAAUACCGGAUACGCUCCAAUUUCGGUUGGGGGAAAGGCGGCCUCUGCUUGCAAGCUGUCGUAUCUGGAUGAGUCCGCGUCCCAUUAGCUUGUUGGUGGGGUAAUGGCCUACCAAGGCGACGAUGGGUAGCUGGUCUGAGAGGAUGAUCAGCCACACUGGAACUGAAACACGGUCCAGACUCCUACGGGAGGCAGCAGUGGGGAAUAUUGCGCAAUGGGGGAAACCCUGACGCAGCGACGCCGUGUGAGGGAAGAAGGCUUUCGGG
RNAcentral lists this ribosomal RNA (424 nucleotides) under uncultured bacterium. RNAcentral describes it as "bacterial SSU rRNA". It matches the Rfam family "Bacterial small subunit ribosomal RNA", at positions 8 to 422 of the family's 1533-position model. The record is from RNAcentral.